UUCACCAUAAAGAAAGACUAUGGCAAAGAAGAGAGAGGCACAAUGGGCUGCUGCACAGGGAACUCUUCAUGGUCUUCAGCCACCAGAAACAACCAAAUAAGCUGAUUUGAUUAUGCAGGGUCCAUGCCUAAGCAAAGUGGGCAACCAAGUAAGCUGAUUUUUCUAGUGAUGGCACUACUAUUUCUUUUCCAUUCUUAUCUUUUAGGUGGGUUUGGUCUGAAUGUGAAUCUGAUCUUUGCUUCUUCUUUUUUUCUCUUGGUUCUUCAGGAAUGUGACAAUAUCAGAGGGUGAAAACUAACGAGAGGUACUCUGCAGUUCUAAUCUGAUCAAUUUUAGUAAUGCAGAAACCUUAAAAUUUUUUUUGUUUCAAUUCUUAUAGAGAAGGAGUUUCAUGAUGCAUUGGAUAAUUUGCUUGAGGUGUUGGGUGUCAAAUCUCCCUUUUUCCUAGUUGUUCAGAUUCAACACUUCU
This is a non-coding RNA of Arachis ipaensis, 469 nucleotides long. The record is from RefSeq and is a predicted model, not a curated record. Lineage: Eukaryota; Viridiplantae; Streptophyta; Magnoliopsida; Fabales; Fabaceae.